This is a long non-coding RNA of Calidris pugnax (ruff), 670 nucleotides long. RefSeq lists it as uncharacterized. The transcript has 5 exons. NCBI's taxonomy places the organism in Eukaryota, Metazoa, Chordata, Aves, Charadriiformes, Scolopacidae. The record is from RefSeq and is a predicted model, not a curated record.
AAGGCAGGAAUCGCUCAGAGGUGGAAGAGACCUAUUAGGCUGUCGAGCCCUCCCGCACGCCAGGGAAGAACUGCUUCGACUGGGUUUGCUUUAGAGGACAGAUGAGGAGCUCAGUAAAACGGGGGAUCCCGUUUUUUGUAUGACAUGGUGGAAGGACUUCUUCUGCGUUGGUUUUUACGUGCACGUCCAGCUUCGAACCUCACAAAACAGUGAUAUCCCUGAGAAUUUUUUUUCCCAGGCUGUUUCUUUAAGUGAGCAAAAACUGUUGUGAUUGCACAGUUGUGCAGUUUUGCUUUGUGGGGCAAUUUUUAUAUCAUCCAAGGAGAAGACGAAGACGAAAAAGCAGCAAAAUAUCUGAGGAGCCCAGGACGUACCUGUAGAGCUGUGGCUUCUCUUUCUCCAAGCUCUGCCAAAGGUAUGAAUUGUUACGUAGCAGCUGCACGUGAAGAGAAGACGGAGUGGAAGUCACUGUCAGAGCAUCCCGUCCUUCGAAGCUGGGCCUGAAGACUUCAGCCCCCUGACUGGUACACAAACAAAAUCCAGAAGUGAGAAAGACAAGUCCCUCUGCCACGAUGAGCUCUGAACACGAAGAAGUCGAUGUUGCAAAAACUGUUGUCAACGGGCUGAACAGCAAUGGACAAGAAAAAGGUGGGUUAAGAGCUUGAGAGAC